Molecule: ribosomal RNA, 433 nt
Filed under: uncultured bacterium
Lineage: Bacteria
Description: partial 16S ribosomal RNA
Rfam family: Bacterial small subunit ribosomal RNA
Source: RNAcentral
AACGAACGCUGGCGGCAGGCUUAACACAUGCAAGUCGAGCGAGACCUUCGGGUCUAGCGGCGGACGGGUGAGUAACGCGUGGGAACGUGCCCUUCUCUACGGAAUAGCCCCGGGAAACUGGGAGUAAUACCGUAUACGCCCUUUGGGGGAAAGAUUUAUCGGAGAAGGAUCGGCCCGCGUUGGAUUAGGUAGUUGGUGGGGUAAUGGCCCACCAAGCCGACGAUCCAUAGCUGGUUUGAGAGGAUGAUCAGCCACACUGGGACUGAGACACUGCCCAGACUCCUACGGGAGGCAGCAGUGGGGAAUCUUAGACAAUGGGGGCAACCCUGAUCUAGCCAUGCCGCGUGAGUGAUGAAGGCCUUAGGGUUGUAAAGCUCUUUCAGCUGGGAAGAUAAUGACGGUACCAGCAGAAGAAGCCCCGGCUAACUCCGUG